This is a long non-coding RNA of Helianthus annuus (common sunflower), 555 nucleotides long. RefSeq lists it as uncharacterized. NCBI's taxonomy places the organism in Eukaryota, Viridiplantae, Streptophyta, Magnoliopsida, Asterales, Asteraceae. The record is from RefSeq and is a predicted model, not a curated record. The transcript is spliced from 2 exons.
GCCUAAUCAGAGUUGUUUAAAAUUCAAACAAUCAGUUGCGGGUUAUCUUGUUUUUUUCGAGCGAACAGUGGGAAAUUCUUAUGCACUGUUCUUGAAGUCUGAUGUAGGAGAGUGGAGGACUUCAUGAAGCAAUCCGAUGCUGCUCCAGACUCUGAUGAUUUAAAGUAUCGCUUUAUCAAGCAAGUUGAGGAUCAAGUAUAUGAGGAUAGGGCUACUCUUCAAGAGCUGACGAGGUGUUUUGAUGGACUGCAUCUUGGUAUGUUUACGAGAGACCAAGUGUCCAGAAACCUGAUGGUGAUGCCUUCAACUGCCGUACGUGACCUUUGUGUUGUCAGUAAUAUAGAGUGCGGAGAUAGAGACUUAGAGUUCAUGGCGAUGCUCAAAGAUAUACAUAGAGAAGUUCAGUACUCGAUGGAGUUGAAGCUAAAAUUUCUUAGUUUUUGCUGUUAGAUUAUUAAAUUUCGUUGUUCAGUACUCGAUGUAAUUGUUGAUCUAUCCUCAUAUGUUAUAGAUAAAUUUCAAUUCUAUUAAUCUUUGUGGAGCAUUUUAUUUUUA